This 2782-nucleotide unclassified non-coding RNA is filed under the name Daphnia pulex (common water flea). RNAcentral's name for it is "clotting factor G beta subunit-like, transcript variant X3". Lineage: Eukaryota; Metazoa; Arthropoda; Branchiopoda; Diplostraca; Daphniidae. The record is from RNAcentral.
GUGUGCACUGUUCUCGCCAGUCGUCACUGAAUAUUAGCAGUUGUGCAUAAUCAUCAACAACAAGAAAAUUUUGCUUGCUGGUGCCGUUAAUGACUUCUAGACAACCUGACAUUAAUAGCAAUCAAUCUCAGCUACAUUGAUAGGAUUUACAGACACCUGUUUGAUUGGAGCAUCCAGCCAUCCACCCAUGUCAGGUGAUUUAUUUCUUCUUCCUUCUUCUUUAAAUCUUCUCUGCCCUCGUGUACAUUCAUUUGAUUGUAUUAUUCAGGAGGACGCCUUUCAUCCCAUUCCGUCCGCUGUAAUCAACUUUUCUUCAGAUGGAGAAUUUUAAAAAAGGGUGGUUUUUCCAAGACUUUCUAGGUAGGAACAUUUAUCCAUAUUUUUUACACUAUUUGGUUUCGUUGAUAAUCGUUAAAAUAUCUCCCAACUGCAUAUAGGUAGGAUAAAUCAAUUAGCAAAUACUUUAGUCAGGGAAAAUUUUUUGCGUGGUAGAAAUUAAUUCAAAGUAUAGAAAUCGUUAAGUUUUUUUAAAGCGAAACAAAUGGAAACCCACAUUAAAGAAAGCAAUGAUUUAUCUAAAGGCAGGUAGACCCUUCUUUUCUGUUGGAAUAAGAAAAAGCCAAAAAGUGUUUGCAUAAAAAAAAAAAUAGAAAAGGAAACUUCUAACUUCGGUACCUUUCGUACUCGUAUGAUCUCGAGCUCAGUCUGGGUAGUAUGGUACACGCAGAAUCCUGAAGAUAGAAUCCAGGUAGUCCUCCCAACCAGUGAAGGUGUCUGUAUGUCCGCCGUGGCGUUUUCUUAAUCCAGCUUCCAUGUACGUCAAAGUAUCUUGCUCAACCGACUGUUUGGGUGAUAAGAACCCCCAUACACUCGCAACGAUGUUAAAAUAGGACGAAAAAAUGCUUCGUCGAGUCGUUGAAUAGUGAACAGAAAUCAUUAGGAUCAUUGUGGUUUCUAGCAGUAUACCUAAUACGAACAGAUAGUGAAAAACAAACGCAAUAACAGCGAGUUUGCGCGUACUACAUCCGUGGAUGGAGCGGUGAUUUUUGUAUACCGUAUUUAGAACACACACGGCCGAAGUCAAAUCAAUCAUCACGGCAGAAGCUGAUGUAUUGACUACUAAUCAUAAAUUAAUCAAGAAAUUAUAUUACAUGUUGAUAGCUCUCAGUUAGCAGAUAGGCGAGGAGAAAAGAGGUGUAACGUAAUAUGAUAAGGUAAACGAGUUUGGGAAAAAGAAAGCUGUUGAAAACUGGAAAAACUGAUGCAAUAUACAGUUAUAAAAACUGUUUUUUACACGCAACACAUACACGUAAGAUGGAAGGACUAUUAGGCAAUAAUUUUAUUUCAUUUACCUUCCUUAUAGUUCGAUUGUUGCUAAGAAAAAUACUUUCUUUUCUUUUGCAUGACGCGACAUUCCAAUUUGAAAAACAUAAGGAUUAUGUAACUCGGGUUUAAUGUCGAUGUAAUUUAAAACGGAAAUCAGUUCCCUUUGUCUGUGGACUUGCGGAGUUCCCCGUCUAUUCCUGUUUGUUUACUUUCAAUUGGGCUGCCCAAGUCCAAAACUGUGGUAGAUGCAAGGUCAUUUUAUGAAGUAAACGAGUUUUACAAAUAAUAUUCCUUUUUCAACAGCACACAUCAUCCUUGAUUGUUGAUUCUGGGGUGUAGUCAUUUAUAAAUUAUAAAUAAAAAAAAAGGAACUAUCUGCCAAGGUGAAAUGCAAAUAAGUAACAAUUCGAGCGUUUCCUGUCUUUUCGGCGAGUAUAGCCAGAUAGUGCAAGCGGUUGAUACAGCUCAGUUGGAUAUCUUCAUUACUGAGCUCCAGUUGAGGAACAAUGAAAGCUUUGUCAUUGGUUUGUUUGUUGGCGUUGGCGGCGAUGGUCAGCACUGCGCCGCAGGUCCCUAUACCUAUCAGCAACGACAACUCCAAGUCGAAAUCCAUUGAGGAGAUCAAACCCAUCGCCCCGACCGUUCCAGUCCCUGGAGUCACCCCUGCAGAAUCCAAGCCAAAGGAAUGGUUAUCCUCCACUUCAACUGUUGCCGAUAGGUCUCGUUGUCUUAAGGAUUAUCGCAAUAAAAAUUCUGAUGCCCCACCACCGAGCGCGGCAAAUAUUACCUCCCCCACCCAUCGUUACCCAUUCGUGGUGUCAAUUUUUCAUUACUCAGAGGAUGAAGGAUACCAUUUUCAUUGUAGUGGAUCUUUGAUUAGUCCAACUAAAAUACUGCUGAUAGCCAAUUUCUGCUUAUACUAUAAUCCUACAUAUAGAAUUACUUACCCCGUGGAAAACCUAAAAGUUAGGCUUGGCACGCAGUUCUUGAACGAGACGACAAGCGAUGCCCAGGUGACAAAGAAUGUCAAAGAAAUCAAUCUUCAUGAUGACUUGUAUUUUGGCCUCGCGAUUUUGACGAUGGAUUCACCUGUGGAAUAUGCGGACACCAUUUCCCCCAUUUGCUUGGUGCCAGAUUGCUUCGACGACGAUAGCGGUCAAUCAGUAAUUGCCAUGGGAUGGGAAUAUUCACCCCGUCCCCAUGAAAUAGAUACAAAAAAUUCUGCUUUCCUGGGAUUAGUGCGCCUUUCUACGCUUCCAAUGAAAACAUGCUUAACCAAAGAUGUUGAUGAACUACCGCGGUGGCCCAGUGGUCAUUGAGAAUAAUUCCCGAGAUAAUACGUCAUGUCGUUUCAUGCAAGUCGGUGUCUUCGAUCAUUUCGCUGACGACAUCGACGUGGGUAGUUUUCUUCGAAUCAAAAACUAUUUGCCUUGGAUUGAGAAGAACUCGAAAUAAU